RNAcentral lists this long non-coding RNA (1051 nucleotides) under Monodelphis domestica (gray short-tailed opossum). Its description in RNAcentral is "lncRNA (ENSMODG00000048308.1)". The record is from RNAcentral. Lineage: Eukaryota; Metazoa; Chordata; Mammalia; Didelphimorphia; Didelphidae.
CCCUCACUAUCUUCCCUAUUCUCUAAACAUCCCACUUAAAGAAAUAAAAAUAAAUUCUUUGUCUCAGAUAUGAAAAGUCAAGCAAAACAAAGUCCUACAAUGACCGUGUCCAAAAAUUUAUGUGUCAUUUUGCAUCCCAAGUUUAUCUCUCUGUCAGGAGGUAGAUAACAUAUUUCAUUACUACUCCUGGGGGUAUUGGUUGAUAAUAACCAUUGAUUAAUCAGAGUUCUUACGUCUUUCAAAUUGUUUUUUCUUUUCUUUUUAUAACAUUUUAUUUUUCCAGUUAAAAACAAAUUUUCCCAUUUGCUUUUUAAACAUUUGAGUUCCAAAUUUUCUCCUUUCUCUCCCCCUCCCUGACAAGGCAAGCAGUUCUAUGUAGUCAGAACAUGGUUGGUCAUGCAAAUCAUAUUUCUAUAUUAGCCAUAUCAUGAAACCAAAAGACCCAAGAAAAAUGAAGAAAGUAAAAAAAAUGCUUCAGUCUGCAUUCAGACUCCAUCAGUCCUUUCUCUGAAUUCUUAUAUCAUUUAUUCUUCAUACUGCAUCCAGAGCAAGUGCCAGGGAAGUGAAACCAGCACACGUCCCAUCAGAGCAGAUCCUGAUGGAGCCAGCCCUGAUCCUGAACCCGGAGCCUUGGGAAUCUCAGUGCUUCUAGUCCCCUGCUCUAUAAACCAUCAUCCCAGGAAACAGCCUUGUGGAAGGUAACCUGGCAACUGCCCCUUCAGGCGCUAUAGCCACAGCUGCUGAAGAUCUAGAAAAGAAAGUUCUUACAACCAAAAUCUUUAGUGCUGUUAAAUAACCCAAUCUCAGAAACUGAUAUUAUUUGUCUGGUGAAAUGACAUUAAAGAAGAAGCAUGAUCAUUUGCUUAAUGGCUGCACCCUGAAGACCAGAGGACUUUACCAUCUAAUUUGUAAUUGAAUUCCCAAUUAUUGUCUUCUCCAUUCCAAUGUGAAAUCCUUAAAAACAGGGAUUGUCUUACUUUUGUGUUUGUAUGUGCUUUAUCCAUUGCUUUGUACAUGGUAAGUGCCUAAUAAAUACUCCCCCCCCCCCCCA